RNAcentral lists this ribosomal RNA (392 nucleotides) under Leptoneta setulifera. RNAcentral's name for it is "partial large subunit ribosomal RNA". It matches the Rfam family "Bacterial large subunit ribosomal RNA", at positions 1928 to 2607 of the family's 2925-position model. Lineage: Eukaryota; Metazoa; Arthropoda; Arachnida; Araneae; Leptonetidae. The record is from RNAcentral.
CAGCCGCAGUAUUCUGUGCUAAGGUAGCAUAAUCACUUGUCUUCUAAUUUAAGACUAGAAUGAAAGGUUAAACGAAUAAAAAAUUUAAUACUUUAAAAUCAAUUAAAUUAUAAUUACUGUAAAAAUACAAAAAUACAACAAAAAGACGACAAGACCCUAGCGAACUUACUAACAGUUAAACUGGGGCAGUAUUAUUACCAACGUCAUAACCUAUUACUUAAAGCACUACCCUAUAAAGAAUAGACACAGUUACCGUAGGGAUAACAGCGCAAUGUGUUUAAAAAGACCUUAUAAAAAAACAAGAUUACGACCUCGAUGUUGAAUUAAUUUAUCAAGUAAGAGCAAAGUCUUACCAGAAAGUCUGUUCGACUUUUAAAAAAUUACAUGAUCUG